This 1117-nucleotide ribosomal RNA is filed under the name Salmonella enterica. RNAcentral's name for it is "partial 23S ribosomal RNA". It matches the Rfam family "Bacterial large subunit ribosomal RNA", at positions 241 to 1398 of the family's 2925-position model. Lineage: Bacteria; Pseudomonadati; Pseudomonadota; Gammaproteobacteria; Enterobacterales; Enterobacteriaceae. The record is from RNAcentral.
CAGUAGCGGCGAGCGAACGGGGAGGAGCCCAGAGCCUGAAUCAGCAUGUGUGUUAGUGGAAGCGUCUGGAAAGGCGCGCGAUACAGGGUGACAGCCCCGUACACAAAAGCGCAUGUGCUGUGAGCUCGAUGAGUAGGGCGGGACACGUGGUAUCCUGUCUGAAUAUGGGGGGACCAUCCUCCAAGGCUAAAUACUCCUGACUGACCGAUAGUGAACCAGUACCGUGAGGGAAAGGCGAAAAGAACCCCGGCGAGGGGAGUGAAAAAGAACCUGAAACCGUGUACGUACAAGCAGUGGGAGCACCCUUUGGGUGUGACUGCGUACCUUUUGUAUAAUGGGUCAGCGACUUAUAUUCUGUAGCAAGGUUAACCGAAUAGGGGAGCCGGAGGGAAACCGAGUCUUAACCGGGCGUUAAGUUGCAGGGUAUAGACCCGAAACCCGGUGAUCUAGCCAUGGGCAGGUUGAAGGUUGGGUAACACUAACUGGAGGACCGAACCGACUAAUGUUGAAAAAUUAGCGGAUGACCUGUGGCUGGGGGUGAAAGGCCAAUCAAACCGGGAGAUAGCUGGUUCUCCCCGAAAGCUAUUUAGGUAGCGCCUCGUGAAUUCAUCUCCGGGGGUAGAGCACUGUUUCGGCUAGGGGGCCAUCCCGGCUUACCAACCCGAUGCAAACUGCGAAUACCGGAGAAUGUUAUCACGGGAGACACACGGCGGGUGCUAACGUCCGUCGUGAAGAGGGAAACAACCCAGACCGCCAGCUAAGGUCCCAAAGUCAUGGUUAAGUGGGAAACGAUGUGGGAAGGCCCAGACAGCCAGGAUGUUGGCUUAGAAGCAGCCAUCAUUUAAAGAAAGCGUAAUAGCUCACUGGUCGAGUCGGCCUGCGCGGAAGAUGUAACGGGGCUAAACCAUGCACCGAAGCUGCGGCAGCGACACUGUGUGUUGUUGGGUAGGGGAGCGUUCUGUAAGCCUGUGAAGGUGUGUCGUGAGGCAUGCUGGAGGUAUCAGAAGUGCGAAUGCUGACAUAAGUAACGAUAAAGCGGGUGAAAAGCCCGCUCGCCGGAAGACCAAGGGUUCCUGUCCAACGUUAAUCGGGGCAGGGUGAGUCGACCCCUAAGGCG